AGUACCUUGUCCUGGCCCACGGCUUCGGCACGGACCAAUCCGCGUGGCAGCGCGUGCUCCCUUACUUCACCCGCAACUACAGCGUCAUUCUCUACGACCUCGUCUGCGCCGGCAGCGUCAACCCCGACCACUUCGACUACCGCCGUUAUACCACCCUCGACGCCUACGUCGACGACCUCCUCAACAUCCUCGACGCCCUCCGCGUCCCCCGCUGCGCCUACGUCGGCCACUCCAUCUCCGCCAUGAUCGGCAUGCUCGCCUCCAUCCGCCGCCCGGACCUCUUCUCCAAACUCAUCCUCAU
This 301-nucleotide long non-coding RNA is filed under the name Glycine max (soybean). RNAcentral's name for it is "long non-coding RNA (GMAX_LNC003985)". The record is from RNAcentral. Lineage: Eukaryota; Viridiplantae; Streptophyta; Magnoliopsida; Fabales; Fabaceae.